UAGCUCUUCAUUGCCGUCAAUUUUGGACACGCCGGCGACAACGAUUAGUCACCGUAUCGGAUAUCAAAAUUGACGGUGCGGCGAAACUUGCGUUAAUUUUCGUAAGAAUCAGUUAAUUGGUAUAGAAUUUUAAUUACAACAGUUUUAUUGUUGAUUUCAGCUUUCCAAAUUUCAGCUUCAAUACUUUCAUUUUGAAGCAGUGAUGAUUGAUUUAAUCUUUAAUUUCGGAUGUUUCUUCAUAACCGAAGAAAUGAAAAUGUAAUUUCCAGUGGAAUUUUUGUUUAGUUAAUGUUACCUCCUGGUUUAUAGCUUUGGAUAACCUUGUUUAUGGCUGAAACUUACAUACAUUUAAGGUUUCAUAUGAAAAUGGAGGCAGAAAAUUAAACAGGUGGUGGAAAUUGAUUUUAGGUUUCAUUGGAGCAGCUGGCAGACUCAGCUUACGAGCUUUUUCUCUCCUGCUGGUAAUUCAUACUUUCCUUAAAUAACUUUAUAGUCUCCCAUUGAUGCAUGCAUUUGAGCAUUUUAAUUUUUUUUCGAAUUAAUUAUUCUUGUGAGUGAAUAUUUCUUUGGUUUUUGAUUAUGAGGUUCAGAAAUCUAUAAUAUGUUGUUAUACAGAAUUGGAGUAAAUAAUUUAUUUACCAUGCUUAUUGCAUUUUGGUUUGGCAGUUCUUUGCUUCAUCGUGGUUGCUGUUAUUGUUACUUUUCUAUGAAAAUUACAUAAUUAGUAAAAUGAUCCUGUUAAUGGAAGGGCUUCUUGAAAAUCUUUGUUCUAGUGUUAACAAUAUUUACCAGCAGAAUGUCCUUGGGUGGGAACUCUUUUCUUUUCCAUUUUCUACUUUUGUUCAUUUUUGGAACCCAUUUUUACAAUGAACUUGGAUAAAAGUUGCAUUUAGAUAGAAAAGGAGUGCUGUUGUUUAUUAGUUUAUAUAUUUAUUUAGAUUUCUGCUGGUCUUAAUUCGAAAUUUUUGCUUUUGUUGUGCUUACAUGCUUCUGGUUGAAAUUUUGGGUCAUUAUUAAAUUGUAACUUGCUAAAUUUCAACUUUCGCUUUUCAGUGAAAAAUUAAGGAGACAUGGGUACUUCCUUGAUUGAUUUUCUCUACAGCUCUACUGAGAUCCUGUGAUUGGCUUCCUCAAGUGUAGGAUAAGUUAAUUGAAAGGUCGCUACGUUUUGUCAAUGUUGAAAGGUUACAAUAAUGCAAUGUUAGUGAGAUGUGCAAAACAAGUUACGCUUUGAAUGUGUCGAAAAUUUCAUUAUUAGUAUAUAUUGCUCCCUCUCUUUUGACCAAAUGAUGUUUUAUAUAAUACAGGUUUUAUUUUUGGAUGAAUGUGCAAAUUUCUAUGUUUUCCUCUUCAUUCAUAGUCAAGGUGGAAUUUUCAUAAUAGAGUUGCAUUUGCCAUUUUCACUUCUUUUUGUUGCUUUAGUUCUCUUCCAUUUGGGCUAGAAUUAUUGAAUUGAGUUUUCACUUUCGCAGGGUCUCUAUAGUAUUAACAUUAGUCAAAGGUUUCCUAAGGAUCUUGGAAAUUUGACAAACUUGGUGAGCUUGAAUCUAUACUUGAACAAUUUAAAUGGUCCAAUUCCACCGACGGUGGGCAAGCUAUCGAACUAUCUUUCCUAUAUGAGCACAAAUCUUUCACAUUACAUUCUUUUGCCUGUCUAUCUAACUUUUGUUACAAUUUUUAGGAUUUAAGUUUCCAUGGGGACUUUUGCCUGACUAUCUAAUUUUUAUAUAAUUCUGUAGCAAUAUGUUGCAUUAUGGAGCUUCUGGUUUGCACACUAUGUUAGGUUUCACUUGUUUGCUUUGGUAUAACUCUGCUUUUUCUUUGGGGUAAGGUCCGAUCAGCAUCCACUAAAAUGGCCACUAAAAUGGCUCCAAAAAAAAAAAGAAUUAUAAUUGGCCAUCUGAGCGAAAUCUGAUACUUGGUGUGUUUUAGCCGAACUGAGAUGUG
This 1947-nucleotide long non-coding RNA is filed under the name Citrus x clementina. RNAcentral describes it as "Citrus clementina (C. clementina) long non-coding RNA (CCLE_LNC006676)". The record is from RNAcentral. Lineage: Eukaryota; Viridiplantae; Streptophyta; Magnoliopsida; Sapindales; Rutaceae.